Molecule: ribosomal RNA, 580 nt
Filed under: Ctenelmis sp.
Lineage: Eukaryota; Metazoa; Arthropoda; Insecta; Coleoptera; Elmidae
Description: partial large subunit ribosomal RNA
Rfam family: Bacterial large subunit ribosomal RNA
Source: RNAcentral
AUAAUAUAAGAUUUAGCCUGCCCGCUGAGUAAUUGAAUGGCCGCGGUAUUUUGACCGUGCAAAGGUAGCAUAAUAAUUAGUUUUUUGAUUGAAAGCUGGAAUGAAUGGCUGGACGAGAAAAUCUCUGUCUCUAAUUAAUUUGAAGUAAAAUUUUAUUUUUAAGUUAAAAAGCUUAAAUUUUAUUAAAAGACGAGAAGACCCUAUAGAGUUUUAUAUUUUUAUUUGAAUUUAAUUUUAGGAAUUUAUAUUUUGUUUAUUUUAAGAAUAUUUUAUUGGGGUGAUAAAAAGAUUCAAUUAACUCUUUUUUUAUUUUUACAUUAAUUUUUGAUUAUUUGAUCCGUUAUUUAACGAUUAAAAGAAUAAAUUACCUUAGGGAUAACAGCGUAAUCUUUUUAGAGAGUUCUUAUCGAAAUAAGGGAUUGCGACCUCGAUGUUGGAUUAAAGUUAAUUUUUGGUGUAGAAGCUAAAAUAUUGAGUCUGUUCGACUUUUAAAACUUUACAUGAUCUGAGUUUAAACCGGUGUGAGCCAGGUUGGUUUCUAUCUUUAUUUUUGUAUAAUAUUUUAGUACGAAAGGACCAA